Molecule: RNA transcript, 10614 nt
Organism: Toxorhynchites rutilus septentrionalis
Lineage: Eukaryota; Metazoa; Arthropoda; Insecta; Diptera; Culicidae
Gene: NPFR
Gene name: neuropeptide F receptor
Exons: 5
Source: RefSeq, a predicted model, not a curated record
UUGUGAUCUCAUCUCGAACGUGGUUCGGCAUAGUUAACGGAUUCGGUAGGAGUUAUGAUAAUUUCGUAUCUCGUCCUCGGCUGCUGACGAUUGCGCGGCGACGGGGGAUUUGCCCAUAGAGAGGCGCAACGGGUGUCAAUGGGAUUUUCCAGUUGGGGAUUUUUCUCGCUGGUUUUUCAUUUGGUUCAAGAAUUAGGAGUUUGUGAUUGUAACGUAUGGUUUGAUAUUAACGGUGAAAUUGGUGGCCGACCGUAAUGUUGGUUUGUUGUGGCGUUCGGGUUCCGGAUAUUGGUGUUUUUUUCUUGGAAUUAUGGUGAGAUUAACAUUAGAACUCUACCGAGUCGAGAUGUGAGAAGGAAUACCGGAAUGAUGUGCAACUGAGCGUGUCUGCUCGUGAUGCUUCCGUUGGAUUCAAAAAGGUGGUGAAACUAUGUGUGAGUUGGAAUGGUCGGUUAUUUCAUUAACGUCUCACCUUCUGGACAGUGAAUUAUACGCAUCAUUAAAUGUCGACCAGAGGAAUAAUGCAGACAGUCUUUCGAUGAUCUGUCCAAAGUGUUUAUCGUUCAACAAUAAAUUAUGCGCAGUGAGCAAUGUGAGAGUAACGUAAUUGGAAAUAUAAGUGAGCCGUAUUUUUGAUGAAGGCGUCUUUAUUGUUAUCGGAUUAUACGUACUUACCGUGCUGAAUGGAGUGAUAAAUCAAGCUUAUAUUUGGCGCUUCGUUUAUUGUGCUAGAUCUGUCUAGAUAAGAACGGCUCCGACUCAUAGUUGGGGAAAUAUUCUAGCGAAUAAGUGUUAUAAAUCAAUAUUAGUCGACCUCGAGCGGUAAUAAAUAAGAUACAAGUGUCACCACAUUUGUCACCCAGGUGUUCUGCAUGUCAGAGUAGACUCGUUCGCUUCAAGGAACAAUAGCGAACGAUCCUUGAUGACCAGUGUCAGUCAAUGUAAAUUAAUUCUAUAAGAUAUAUGAAGACGGAAGUCGUCUUCCUGCUUUUACGAGACAGCGACAACGGGGAUUGAGUGCGGAAACGAAUCUCAUCAAGUGUUGAACUAUAUAUUCAGAUUGUAGAAAUGGAUAUCGUGCUGUCCCGGCUGAACCUCAGCCUGGACAAUGUGACUCUGAGCACUAGCACUAUUCGCCAGGGGCUUAUCGAGCAGUACAGCAGCAACCGCAAGGUGGACGAUCCGGCCUAUCACAUACUGAUAGUGAUGUACAGCAUUUUAAUUAUUUUCGGGGCCACCGGGAACAGCCUUGUGGUGAUGGCAGUUGCCCGGAAGCCACAGAUGCGAACGGCACGGAACAUGUUCAUCGUCAAUCUGGCAGUGUCCGAUUUGCUGCUAUGUCUGGUAACGAUGCCGCUGACGCUCGUGGAAAUCCUUACCAAAUACUGGCCGAUGGGCCGGUUACCCUUCCUGUGUAAAUCGAUUGGAACGCUGCAAGCGACGAGCAUUUUCGUGUCAACCAUCUCCAUCACGGCCAUUGCGUUGGACCGAUAUCAAGUGAUUGUCUAUCCAACUCGGGACAGCCUCCAGCUGAUGGGUGCUGUUAUGAUACUGACCGGAAUUUGGAUCAUAUCAUUGGUGCUUGCAUCGCCGAUGUUUAUCACGAGACGGUUGAUUCACUACGAUGUAAAUAUGCCCAGCCUUGGGAUUGACUACAUCUCCUAUUGCGUGGAGGACUGGCCAAUAGCACACGGCCGAAUUUAUUACUCGGUGUUUACGCUUUGCGUCCAGUACUUGCUGCCCAUCGUGAUAGUAUCGAUAGCAUAUCUACGAAUUUACCUCAAGUUGAAACACCGACUCGUGGUGACAACCACGGCGUUCAGUUCCGGCGUGAACUCGAGUAGCAAACCGCCCCGGGAACGGGAACGAGGCCGGCGGAUGCAGCGGACCAACUAUUUGCUGAUUAGUAUAGCCCUAAUCUUCGGAAUCUCGUGGCUUCCGUUGAAUCUGUUCAAUUUGUUCGCCGAUCUGUUCCUGGAUGGAAUAACGCAGGAGAUAAUGGUUGCGUACGCCAUCUGCCACAUGAUGGGCAUGAGUUCGGCCUGCUCUAAUCCACUUCUGUACGGCUGGCUGAACGAUAACUUUCGCAAAGAAUUUAACGAACUUCUCUGCCGGAAGGACUCGAGCACGGUCACUUCAAAUGGAACCGGAAAAACCAACUCGCGAAAGGUUCGAACUACGGCAGCUGCUCCGGAAGUAACGCAGGUGGGCGACAACUGUCGAACGACAGUAGUAGACUCGGGCGACCAAACCGAACUUACCGAGUUAAUGCCGUGAUAUCGUACGUUUCCCCCGUUUUCUAUCGAGGUGUGCAAUAUUGCUAUAACUGAAGAUAAAGGAAUAGUGAAAUUUAAAAAAAGACACACGCACACACGUAACCAUCUAACGCAAGCAUUGUUCUGUACACAAACUUGGUAAUGGCUCAUCAUACACAGCGCGUUUGAUGAGACCCCCAACUGGGAGAAACGGUUGGAGCAGCAGAUGGAUCAACAGGACCGCAUGAAGCUCUGCGGCGAUGAAGACAGCGUCUGAGGAAGCGAUCCACGAGACGGCAGCUUCCACUUUCCACAGCAGAAGAAGAUGGUAACCAGCCGGGGGGAAAUUGAAUUUGCUGCUGCUACGUGAUGCAGUAGUUGCCAGGUGCUAUUUCUAGCCGUUUUUUAUACUGUGAAUAUUUUCAUGCAGUGUGCAAAAUUCGAGCUGCAAGCAGUUGGUCGUCUCUUCCACAUUGUGCGCCUAAAGGUAUACACUGCUCGACACAGAGGCGAUGUUGCGCUUAUCAAAUUAAGUAUACAAUUUGUAUAUUUGGAGAACAAGAGUGUGUGUGUGUUGUGUGAUAGUCAAAGAGGAGAAAAUUGGAUGAACGUAAUGAAUUUGUUAUUAUUAUUGGGUUAGGCUAAUUCUACUGCUGUAAGAAAAAUGAGAAAACUGUAAAAAUAUUGCACCCCUAUUGGUUGAAGAGGUAGAAUUUCAGAUCAAUUGAAAUAUGUAUUGUAAAUAUUAUCAUAAGCCAUAUGAUUUCACUUCAUUUUUGUGGACUCAAGAGUAAACUAUGUUUUAUCACUCUGUAUCUGAGAAACGCUUAAUAGUAGUUCAGGAAUAGUGGUGUCCGAUAAACGUUCGAUUAAUCGACUAAAGGUGGAAGACACUAUUUGACUGGAGAUAAAACAUUCGACACUUUUUGACAGAUAAAAUUUGGUUGAAAUUGGAUACAAAUAUUACUUUGUUUGACAUUUUUCAAUUACACCCAGGUUUUUUUACGCGGAUUUUCCAAUUAAAGCGUUUUUUACGUGGAUUUUCGAAUUAACGGGGUUUUUUUACGCGGAUUUUCCAAUUGAAGCGUUUUUUUUACGUGGUACCCGCGUAAAAAACGACCAGUGCAAUAUCAGCUCACAUUUUUCUCUCAUGUUCCCUCAGAGCAAAUUACGGUAAUUAGUGCUUGUAACGGAGUUUAGCGCUUAGUGCCGCACCUUAUCACAAUUCUUAUGUGGAUUUUAGGUGUUGGGUAACGGGGAGCUCGCCGGGCGGUACAACGGGACGGAAUUUUUACGGGCAGCUAUUCGUGAAAGGUUUUCCCUGUCUACUUAGCUCUGGACGGCCCAACAGUGGUACUGCACGUGCAUCGGCAGAAGAGUGUACACAUUACUAGGAAAUCUUCUAGCAACAGCAGAUGACCUCAUUCGUGAGGAAAACCGAACUAUAGCUAACCAGUAACCUAACCAGUAACCAACGAAAUUGCAGGAAAAAACUACGGGUUUUCGGAAGCGAGCAACACUCAACUUUUUACUUCUGUUCUACGUAAAGAUAGUCCCAUUUGAUAUCUAUCAUUAGGUGACAUGGUUUUUUUUACGCGGUUUUUUACGCGGAUUUUCCAAUUAACGUGGUUCUUUUACGCCGUUUUUUUAGAGGUACGUAUCCUCCGCUCAAAAAAAAAAAAAAAAUUAUAGGAGGUUGUGUCCACUUGAUUGACGUAGAACUACGCAGUUAUUUUAUAUAAGUCGCUUGUUUAUACCUUCGGAUAUUAUUCUAUAAUGCUGUGAAAUUUUAGAAACAACUGAUUGAUGAUUCAUUCUUGCCCUCGCAAAACAAUCGUAUGUCGCAAUUUAUUUCAUGUCAAUGCAUUGAAAAUUUACCUCGAAGGCUAUUCCGGUGGCCUUUUUCGAAAUUGACAUAGACUCGGCUACAGUCGAUUGUAUAUAUGUUGCACCAGCACCAUUAUUCCAUAUCUCAUAACUACAUCAAUAUAUCUUUGGCACCGCAUGUAAACAACAACAAUGACAACACUUGCAAGUAUCAAAUAUCAUGCUACAUGUUAUUUAGUAUUGCCUCAAAGGAAUCGCACCUCCAGAUAUCGUUCGUACAAACUAAGUGUAAACAAAGCGCCAAACAAGCGUUCACCAUAGCAUGCCACAGAGCCAUACAUUGGUGGCUUGAAACUACUAGCAAUAUAAACAUUUCUCAUCACUUUGCGCUAUUCUCAAAAGAAACGCUUCUGUUAAUAUUACUGGCCUCGAAAAGAGUUGCAUUACAUUAUUAUGCUCGAGAUAAGCGCAGCUGUCUCCCUUAGUGGAGGAAGUUUUGCUACUGGCAAGCGAAACCUAAUCACAUACAAAAUUCCAGAACAUUUACUUUUCUUGAUGGUUGUUAUUAACUUUUUUUUGUUAAUAACAACCUCGAAAACAGUAGCAAUGCUUCAUUAUGAUCAAUAUUAGCGCAAAUGCAAUCCUAGUUGAAGGCAGUUUUGCGACUGGCAUGCGAACCCAAAUAACUUAUAACAUUCCAGUAAGAUAUUCAAGAUGUAUUCUCAAAUAAUUUUUUGGUGCACAAUUUUAACGUCUGCUUCGCUGCUAACGUCAAUGCAUUAACAUUCUCAAAGGUACAAACGAUGCCCUUAUGAAGACGGAAAAUAAACAAUGUUAACUGCUUGGAAAAAGACCGAAUUAUGCCACACAGCUUGUACUCUGCUGUAACACCCAUCGAUGCGAAUUCGCUGAUGAGUUUGUCAAGAGCGACCGCCUUCACCACCAGGAUUGAGCUUGAUUUUGGUUGCUGCAUGGGCGUUUACAUUUUCGACCGACGCGCCGAAAUCGCCUACUUCGUUGUUGUUCGGUGCGGUGUCACAUUCGCGAAGGCUUGGUUCAGUGCGAGCGCUUUUCACUGCACCAACACCGCGUGCAUCAUUAGAUGACGCUUACCUCGAAAUUUUAUUGUCCCUGGCAAUGCGUUCGUUUUUUGCAGGGCUCGAGCCUGCCUUCCUCUUCUUCUUGCUCAUCGCACACUACGCGAAGCGUUCAAUUUAUGACGCGGAAAGAAGAACACACGAUACGAAUAACGCGAAAAACGAACAGAAAAAUUAAACGACGAUUUCCAAGUUGGAUUACCGCUGGUGGGGUCCAAUCUUAGAUCGAAGCGCAGCGAAAGCAAAGUGAAUUGAAUUGCUCAACAGUCCGAUGCCGAAUGAAAGUUUGCCUUCUUCUUCUUUCUUUGUUUUUAAGAGGCUUUAAACUUUGCAGUUCAUUCGCCUCUAAGGUUUGCCUCAGCGAGAUCCACUGUUUAUACUCUAGGCAAGUAUUCCCCUUCAUUCUUCUUCUUUUCCUUUGUUCACGGAGACUUUAAAUCCUACGAUUUCCCCUCCGUUGGUCGUCGAUAAGUUGCUCGUUAUUGAUAGCUCUGUUCGGGAAAGCACUCAAAUGGACAGAACAAAUGUAUGGGAAAAUAGAAACAUUUAAAGUUUUCAUGAAUUUUAACCAUUUACUAACAAGGGGAUUCUAAUGUAUGGCAUAUUAAACAAAUCUUACGGAAUUUCCGAUUCGUUUAGUAUGUAAAUCGCCAAAAUGCGUUCGCGGCAAAAAUAGUUAUUAACGUUAACAUUAUUUCAUAAAAACGUGACCUGUUUUCUGAUUUGACACCCUUACUGAAAGACGUAGUUCUACGUCAAAAACCAUGGUGUACCAACAGUGGCAAACAUUGUCAAACAUCGAACAUGGAGAACAUUAUGAUAGGGGUUUGUAUCCAAGACACGACCGCUCAUGACGUAGGACUACGCAUUGGUUUCAUUUAUUUCGCUUAUUUAUCAUUUCGGAUAUUAUUCAUAAAUACAAAGAAAUUGCAUAAAUCACUCUUUAAUAGAAAAUUUCAGUAAGCCCGAAAAGGGUAAAUCAUUAACCCUUGGCUUAGUACGAGCAGUUCGGGAAGCAGCGAUUCUUUCUUGCAAUUGUGAGAACAAUACACAAACUUGUCAUAUGUCGCAAUUUGUUUCUUUAUUUCAACACACGCAUUGCACUGAGUAUUCAUCGCGCGGUGUUCUUCGCAUUUGAUACACACACUCGGCCAUGUUGCGAUUUAAUAUUUGUUCUACUAGCACUCACCUUUAUUUCACAUUCCUUAACCACUCCACUAUAUCUUUAGCAACACAUAAAAACAAAAAAGGCACAGGAGGGUUGUAUCCGAGACACGAUCGCAUAGUUGCAGUAGGAUUACGUUAGGCUAUCUAUUACAUGCUGAUUUUGUGAAAAUUUUCAUUUAAUUUUUAACAAUUCAAAACUGCCUUCGGGCCUGCUGAUUCGAUUGUAUAUUAAUUUACCUCCCUAAAUGAAUAUUGCUACCAGAUGUCGACACUGUAGCCAAGCGUAGUUACUGAUGUAUGAACCGAUGCCGAAACGAAGAGCGACGAACGCACCCAUACCACGAACUUCGACAUUUGAUUUGCUACUAUGGUGCUACUCACACGUGUAGUUCACGCAAAGUCACCGGCAAAAUAUUAUUUUCGAGUAUCCCUUCAUGCAUUUGUCUGAAACGCCGGUGCCGUUCCGCUAUAUAUAUAUAUAUGUAUACUCAUGCCAUUUGCCUCCCUUGCCGCAUCCAGUCAUGUUGGUUGAUGGGAAGUAUGUUUUUGACGCGAUCGGAGCUGAAAUUUGUCGAUCAUUGCAACAUUAUCAUCGAAAAAUUUCAUGAAGCAACCAACAUUGAAGUUCCAAAUUUAAAUUAUUUGCUAGAAUUAAUCGUAUCACUCACCUUACUUGCAAUAUAAAAAUGCCUCCGACUUGCAUGUAUUUGCAAUGUCGAUUCACCCCAGGCAGCUUGGUUUUGAUGUCUCUGUUAGGUAAUCGCCGCUUGUGUCGUCAAUUUCGACCAAUCAGAAGUGGAUAUUUCCGUUAGGAUAGGGGUUGGGAUUUUUCAAUUGUUCGAUAGUUUUUUUAAUGACAUAUAUUAUUUUCUUCAAUGUAAAAAAGACGGGUGGGUAAUGUCGGGGACAUAACCGGAGUGACGUAGGACAAUACAAAGGGGACAGCUUUUGUUAAAUAUAUAUUUUAAAUAUAUUGUUUUAUUUUGCACUGGUACUAACGCGCUCGGCCUAGCUACCCUUGCGGGGAACUCCAGAUCAACACGGUUCGAGCGGGAUUUUGCCUUUCCCUUCACUUUUCCUCCUUUACCAUGUCCAGACAUGGCUGCUUGGGUUGGUUUGUCGAUGUGUUGUGAUGCGAACCGAUGUGGUGAUCGUUACGGCAGCGGAGCGGGGAUUUUUAAGCUGACUGGCUGGCUCGAUAAUUACGCAUGUGUGAGACUGCGACCAAUGUUUCGUUCAUUUUUUUCUUUUUCCUUUCCAAUCGUGCUUCAUUCUAUUUCGCUGCUAUUCUGGUUGCCCGUUUUGGUCGGUACGAUUUGAGGAGCACAAAAUGGACCAAUCAAAAAUGGGCACAUAGUGCAUUUUGACAAUGCUUGAUAUUUCACAAUUAUUCAAUUAUUUAUCUCAAGAAAAAUGAAAUGUUAUUCGUUAUGAUAGAUGCGUAGAUAUAUUUCCUAUCAAUUGAUGCAAAAACCUUUGCGAUCUAUUGAGAAAUGCUCGAGUUAUAAGCGUUCCAAAUCUUGCAUUUUUUCCUACUUGUUCAGUGCCUAGAUUUCCAUUUCACCCCCUAUAUCUUCCGGUUAGACGUAGUCCUACGUCAAAAUUGUUAUCAAGUGCCGAAAUCGAUUGACGCAAAAAUUUCAUCAGUCCAUCAUAAAAUGACUGAGCAAUAAGCGUUUGAAAUUGGACAAUUUUUACGAUGUGCCCGAUUUUCGAUUUUCAAUUUGUACCCCAUGUUCACGAAAGACGUAAUCCUACGUCAAAACAUUCACGUCACGUUCACGCCACGUCACGUCACGUUACGUCAAUUAUUCUCCCAUGCAAUUCUUAUGAAAACAUUCACAUACACCGGCAACGGAAACUUCGACUUACCGUUGAUGGUGUAUGUGAAUGCUUCCAUAAGAAUUGCAUGGAAGAAUAAUUGACGCAUCGUGACGGGACGGAACGUAAACGUGACGUGGAUGUUGUGUGUGAAUCGCACUUUACUCUUCGACCAAGUGUUUGCAACAGGGAUGCCGAACCACUCGAGAUGUCAUGUUUCAAAAUUAGAUAAUGUUUCUGGAGACUAUUUUUUCACGUCCCUAACACAUGUUUUCGUAUCAUACAUUCUAUAAAUAAUUACAUUUGUUGCGUAUUUUACAACAAAUUGUAUUUUUUUUGUUAUGCUUUAUCAUGAAAACUAGUGUGAAAGCAUUAUGUAGAAGUGUAUUUUCAAAUCUUAUUGGCAAUCCUUUAGAAUUUACCAAUCAGUAGCUGGUCCGAAAAUUGGACCCAGAUCGACCCCCUAUUGUCUGGUCUUGUCUUAGAUACUGACAUGUUCGGUCACUCUGAGUGUACAACGUGUACAGCAUGAACAUUGCUAAAAAAUGAUGGACUCUAUAGCGACGACUCAAAUUCGCUCCAUAGGGUCAUAACCAGUGUUGCCACACGUACAGAUUUAUCUGGAAUGGUACAGAUUUUUUAGUUAUUUUUGGUACAGAUUCUGUACGAUACAGAGUACAGAUUUUCGUCAUAAAGUACAGAUUGGUACGGAUUUUUUUCGAUUUGUGAAAUUUCUUACAUUUGAACAAUGCAACAUUGGGUUCUUUAUUCCGCAGUAUCAUAAGGACGAAAUUCCUUACAAGAAUCGCCUGAAAGAAUUCGUGUCGGACGGUGCGACGUAUGUUUUGCCCCAGAUCAACAGAUUGAAUCGUUCGUUGUUCGCAUUUUUUUUUUCUGACGCUCAAGUCUACGGCAAUGUUGAAUCCCAAAAACUUUUCCAAUUUGACUAGCAUUAACGUUGUGUUAGAAGAGUUUCCAGAAUUGUACAAUGGGAAUGUUUAAGAUGUGGAGAAUAAUUUCUAUAGCCUAAAGAUAAAAUUACUCCGUAAGGAUAUCACAAUUUCAGAAGACGAAUAUGUGCAGGAUUGGUGGACAAAAAUUGGACGCCUAAAAAUAAUUGACGAUUCGCUCACCUUUUCGACGCUUCGAUGCCUUGUUUGUAACGCUCUCACUAUGCCUCACUCCUAGCCAACUGUCGAGCGAAUUUAUUCUGAAUAUAAAAUUUAAAAAAAUGAUAGUAUGCAAUCUAGAUUCAAAAAAAACUAUGUAAAAGAAUUACCAAACACACAAAUGACCUACAAAAGUAAUUGUAGUAUUUGUAGUAGAUAAAUAAGUAUUUUUUUAAUGUUAAUAAAUAAUUUUUUUUCUACGAUGAUACAAAUUUUUGGUACAGAUUUUUGGAAAAAAAGUACAGAUGAGAAAGAUUUUCGACCCCUCUGGUACAGAUUCAAAUGUGGCAACACUGAUCAUAACCGGUGACGAAUAAUAGGUUUAAUGUUAUGACGUGGAAAAGUCUUCGUUAACCCUUGCACUACGGCAGUGUGUUCCGUCGGAGUGCUACCGCUGAGCGGAGCACUGCUCCGGAAAGUAUGCAUAUCGCGCUGGUGUGAUAGAUGUGCAGUAUCAUCCUGAUGUCGCCUAUAGACGACGCUCGUAGCGCAAGGGUUAACGAGGGAAAAAAAGAAAAAAAUGUUUUUACAUUAUAUUGACUGAUUUUAUGUUUUAUUGGGAGAUUAGAAUUGGGAGAAAAUCGUUGUUUUAAGUAAUAUUUUCUUUCUCAUUCAAGUAAUAUAACAUUGGAGUUUAUGUGACACUCCAAUAAACGGUAUUCGGGCGAGCUUGUUCCUCGAAAAUUCUCCACAAUCUCGUUAUAUUAUGUUCUGUUUUUUUAUACAAACAAAAGUUUCAAUGUCUGCAAGAAAUGGACCACUCCAAAAUGGUGCAAUAUUUUUAAUGUACCCGUUUGAAACGCAUGUAGAGUCAGCCUAGGUCUCCCUGUGGCGAUCAUCCCCUAGGCGCGGUCAAAUCUCACUGUUUCCCCACACCGUUUAUCUGUUUGAGCCCAGCAAUGAAUUUAUUCCAAUUAAUUGGGCGCUCAAUUAGUUCCCAAUAAAUUCAUUGUUUACAAGCCGUUAUGAGCAAGUAUUGUUUUUUACGAACAGUGAGUUUUUCCCGCUUGAAUUUGUCUAGGAAGAAGAGUCAAAACCGAAAGGUUUCACCUAGGAUAUAAGUUAAGACGAGGAAAACAAAAAAAAACAAUAUCAGCGAUCAAAAAUCGCAAUGCAGUUUUGUAGCAUAGCUAGAGUUAAAUGGCCUCAUCUGCUGUAACUUUGUAUGAAAAUUGUAAACUAGAUGCUAUUAUUUGUACAGACGAUAAGUGUUUCUCUAACGGUUGAAAUAUAUCAGUGAUUGAAUUCGGAUAGGAAAUAAAAUUUAUAAAUGUUGAU